Molecule: ribosomal RNA, 468 nt
Filed under: uncultured bacterium
Lineage: Bacteria
Description: partial 16S ribosomal RNA
Rfam family: Bacterial small subunit ribosomal RNA
Source: RNAcentral
GACGAACGCUGGCGGCGUGCUUAACACAUGCAAGUCGAACGGAAAGGCCCUGCUUUUGUGGGGUGCUUGAGUGGCGAACGGGUGAGUAACACGUGAGUAACCUGCCCUUGACUUUGGGAUAACUUCAGGAAACUGGGGCUAAUACCGGAUAGGAGCUCCUGCUGCAUGGUGGGGGUUGGAAAGUUUCGGCGGUUGGGGAUGGACUCGCGGCUUAUCAGCUUGGUGGUGGGGUAGUGGCUUACCAAGGCUUUGACGGGUAGCCGGCCUGAGAGGGUGACCGGCCACAUUGGGACUGAGAUACGGCCCAGACUCCUACGGGAGGCAGCAGUGGGGAAUAUUGCACAAUGGGCGGAAGCCUGAUGCAGCAACGCCGCGUGCGGGAUGACGGCCUUCGGGUUGUAAACCGCUUUCGCCUGUGACGAAGCGUGAGUGACGGUAAUGGGUAAAGAAGCACCGGCUAACUACGUG